CCUACGGGGAGCAGCAGUGGGGAAUAUUGGACAAUGGGCGAAAGCCUGAUCCAGCCAUGCCGCGUGUGUGAAGAAGGCCUUCGGGUUGUAAAGCACUUUCAGUGGGGAAGAAAGCCUUGGGGCUAAUACCCUCGAGGAAGGACAUCACCCACAGAAGAAGCACCGGCUAACUCCGUGCCAGCAGCCGCGGUAAUACGGAGGGUGCGAGCGUUAAUCGGAAUUACUGGGCGUAAAGCGCGCGUAGGCGGUCUGAUAAGCCGGUUGUGAAAGCCCCGGGCUCAACCUGGGAACGGCAUCCGGAACUGUCAGGCUAGAGUGCAGGAGAGGAAGGUAGAAUUCCCGGUGUAGCGGUGAAAUGCGUAGAGAUCGGGAGGAAUACCCGUGGCGAAGGCGGCCUUCUGGACUGACACUGACGCUGAGGUGCGAAAGCGUGGGUAGCAAACAGGAUUAGAUACCCGUGUAGUC
This 465-nucleotide ribosomal RNA is filed under the name Vreelandella stevensii. RNAcentral's name for it is "partial 16S ribosomal RNA". It matches the Rfam family "Bacterial small subunit ribosomal RNA", at positions 338 to 795 of the family's 1533-position model. Lineage: Bacteria; Pseudomonadati; Pseudomonadota; Gammaproteobacteria; Oceanospirillales; Halomonadaceae. The record is from RNAcentral.